GAAAGCGGGGCUAAUACCGGAUAAUAUCUAUAAAAUCUUGGUUUUUUGGAUCAAAGGGGGCCUCUACAUGUAAGCUUCCAUUUGGAGAUGAGCCCGCGUACCAUUAGCUUGUUGGUAGGGUAAUGGCCUACCAAGGCUUCGAUGGUUAGCUGGUCUGAGAGGAUGAUCAGCCACACUGGAACUGACACACGGUCCAGACCCCUACGGGAGGCAGCAGUGAGGAAUUUUGCGCAAUGGGGGAAACCCUGACGCAGCAACGCCGCGUGAGUGAUGAAGGCUUUCGGGUCGUAAAGCUCUGUCAAGUGGGAAGAAACUGUAUUGUAUUAAUACUACAGUACACUGACGGUACCACUGAAGGAAGCACCGGCUAACUCCGUGCCAGCAGCCGCGGUAAUACGGAGGGUGCAAAGCGUUAUUCGGAAUUAUUGGGCGUAAAGAGCGCGUANGCGGUCUCUUAAGUCAGAUGUGAAAGCCCGGGGCUUAACCCCGGAAGUGCAUUUGAAACUGAGGGACUUGAGUAUGGGAGAAGGAAGUGGAAUUCCUGGUGUA
RNAcentral lists this ribosomal RNA (549 nucleotides) under uncultured bacterium. RNAcentral describes it as "bacterial SSU rRNA". It matches the Rfam family "Bacterial small subunit ribosomal RNA", at positions 153 to 677 of the family's 1533-position model. The record is from RNAcentral.